CCUACGGGUGGCAGCAGGGGGGAAUAUUGGACAAUGGGGGCAACCCUGAUCCAGCCAUGCCGCGUGUGUGAAGAAGGCCCUCGGGUUGUAAAGCACUUUCAGUGAGGAAGAACGCCUGGUGGUUAAUACCCAUCAGGAAAGACAUCACUCACAGAAGAAGCACCGGCUAACUCCGUGCCAGCAGCCGCGGUAAUACGGAGGGUGCGAGCGUUAAUCGGAAUUACUGGGCGUAAAGCGCGCGUAGGUGGCUUGAUAAGCCGGUUGUGAAAGCCCCGGGCUCAACCUGGGAACGGCAUCCGGAACUGUCAAGCUUGAGUGCAGGAGAGGAAGGUGGAAUUCCCGGUGUAGCGGUGAAAUGCGUAGAGAUCGGGAGGAAUACCAGUGGCGAAGGCGGCCUUCUGGACUGACACUGACACUGAGGUGCGAAAGCGUGGGUAGCAAACAGGAUUAGAUACCCGUGUAGUC
RNAcentral lists this ribosomal RNA (465 nucleotides) under Vreelandella stevensii. Its description in RNAcentral is "partial 16S ribosomal RNA". It matches the Rfam family "Bacterial small subunit ribosomal RNA", at positions 338 to 795 of the family's 1533-position model. Lineage: Bacteria; Pseudomonadati; Pseudomonadota; Gammaproteobacteria; Oceanospirillales; Halomonadaceae. The record is from RNAcentral.